CCUACGGGCGGCAGCAGUGAGGAAUAUUGGUCAAUGGACGCAAGCCUGAACCAGCCAUGCCGCGUGAAGGAUGACGGCCCUAUGGGUUGUAAACUUCUUUUGUACGGGGGUAAAGCCCGAUACGUGUAUCGGGUUGAAAGUAUCGUACGAAUAAGGAUCGGCUAACUCCGUGCCAGCAGCCGCGGUAAUACGGAGGAUCCGAGCGUUAUCCGGAUUUAUUGGGUUUAAAGGGUGCGUAGGCGGUUUGAUAAGUUAGAGGUGAAAUGUCGGGGCUCAACCCCGAAACUGCCUCUAAUACUGUUGGACUAGAGUAUAGUAGAGGUAGGCGGAAUGUAUGGUGUAGCGGUGAAAUGCUUAGAGAUCAUACAGAACACCGAUUGCGAAGGCAGCCUACUAAACUAUAACUGACGUUGAGGCACGAAAGCGUGGGUAGCAAACAGGAUUAGAUACCCUUGUAGUC
Molecule: ribosomal RNA, 460 nt
Filed under: uncultured bacterium
Lineage: Bacteria
Description: partial 16S ribosomal RNA
Rfam family: Bacterial small subunit ribosomal RNA
Source: RNAcentral